UACGACUACAUAUCAGGCAUAUCAAUAAGCGGAGGAAAAGAAACUAACAAGGAUUCCCUUAGUAACGGCGAGUGAAGCGGGAAGAGCUCAAAUUUGAAAUCUUCAAGGUUCUACCUUGACGAAUUGUAGUUUAAAGAAGUGUUUUCUGUUAGAUGAGUAGCAAAAGUUCCUUGGAAUGGGACAUCAUAGAGGGUGAGAAUCCCGUAUUUGGUUAUUCAUUCUAGCUUUGUGAUACACUUUCAAAGAGUCGGAUUGUUUGGGAAUGCAGUCCAAAAUGGGUGGUAAAUUUCAUCUAAAGCUAAAUAUUGGCGAGAGACCGAUAGCGAACAAGUACCGUGAGGGAAAGAUGAAAAGAACUUUGAAAAGAGAGUUAAACAGUACGUGAAAUUGUCAAAAGGGAAGCGUUUGACACCAGUGUUGUUUUUCCGAAAAUCAAUUACGAAUGGCUUGAUUUUGUGUUGUAUUGACCUUAUCAGCUUUCUUCACUUUUUUCGAGUCUUUCCUUAAUGCACUUUUCGGUUAACAAGUCAACAUCAAUUUCUUUUGUUGUAAAAGAGUAUUCGGAAGGUGGCUUUCUUUUCGGAGAAAGUGUUUAUAGCCCUAUACUUCUACAAUCGGAGAGAUUGAGGUCUGCAGCGUAGAUCCUUCGGGGUUAGAUACACUUGUGCUAAGUUGUAGCUUUUCAUAGACAACUUGUUGACUAUGUUUAGUCAUGUCGCUUACUCGCUGGUGCUAUUUUACCUACGCUUAGGAUGUUGAGUAGCGACAUACGCAC
Molecule: ribosomal RNA, 775 nt
Filed under: uncultured Neocallimastigales
Lineage: Eukaryota; Fungi; Neocallimastigomycota; Neocallimastigomycetes; Neocallimastigales
Description: partial large subunit ribosomal RNA
Rfam family: Eukaryotic large subunit ribosomal RNA
Source: RNAcentral